UCUUACAAGUUUCAUUGCAAAUUGUUCAAAAUAAAAAAAAAUAUUUUCAUUUAAAACGAAAUGAAAACAUUUUAUAUUUAUUUUAAACAAAAUUUGCAAUGAAACUUACAAAAAAAGUUGUUUUGGGGUAAUAAAACACAGGUUUUGUUAACAUUUUUAUUGUACACUUGAGUAACAUAACAAAUUAAAUUUUUCAAAAAAUUGAAUCAGUCAGUGUUGGCAUGUUUUGCCUGUCUGCUCCAGACUUAAAACAAAAUAAGGCCUCCUUUGCAAUGACUUUUACCUUGUCUGUCAGCAAACAGUUGCCCGCGCUACAACCACGAGGAGGUACAUGCAGUGCACUGACACACUUGAGCGCAAAUAAGAAACUUAAAAGAUCCUCAAUUUUGCAGGCAUUCCUCCACAAUUCGUGAAGCUUUGGAUUCUUAGGGAAGGUGAAGAAAUGCUUGUUGGCAUGUCCUUUGUUGGGAACAUAACCACUGGUGCAUCCGGGGUAUUUGCAGGAAUAUUUGCGAUAACCAGCCAUGACUAAAGUUCGCUUGAGUAGUAGAAAUCAAAAAUCCGUCACCCCAGCCCAGAGACCAAUGCCUUUAAAAUAGAAAGAAACACCAAUCAAAAAGAUGAAGUUAUGUUAACAAAAGAAGAGAUACUUAUCUUUUUGGUCGGUGCUCAACACCAGGAAUUGACUCACUAACGAACUGUAAUCAGAAUUUUUGCUUUGAUUAAACGAUUAAACAAAUAA
Molecule: long non-coding RNA, 742 nt
Organism: Tribolium castaneum (red flour beetle)
Lineage: Eukaryota; Metazoa; Arthropoda; Insecta; Coleoptera; Tenebrionidae
Exons: 2
Source: RefSeq, a predicted model, not a curated record